Topomyia yanbarensis is the source of this 774-nucleotide long non-coding RNA. RefSeq lists it as uncharacterized. The record is from RefSeq and is a predicted model, not a curated record. NCBI's taxonomy places the organism in Eukaryota, Metazoa, Arthropoda, Insecta, Diptera, Culicidae. The transcript is spliced from 4 exons.
UCGGGCCUCCGGGUCUCCGUUUAAAAGACGGUUUUCAGAGCAGUUUUCUAUUGAGAAAGGCAAAACGUAAAUCGUAUGAAUAAUUUGUAGCAAAUAGUGGCACAUUUUACACUUUUAUAAUUAGUGGCUCAUGUCCCUUCAGAUUUGACCGCACUUACCGCUUGAUGACGUCCCAGUUUGAUAUUUCUUUUGAGUGUUUUGAGAAAACUGAGAAAACGAAAAUCGUCAACGCAGGCCUGAAUACGGUUAAAGAAAUAUAAACAAAUUUUGGUAUCCUCGCAUCGUUGUCCGGAGCAGUUGGAUAUCAUUGUCAUCAAUAACCCCAGGGUUGAAAAAUUGAUUCGGUUCUGUGACUUCGAAUCUAAAGACUAUGGCGUGCGGCAUCGAAGAAUUUAUUCCGUGCACUUUAGGUCGUCUUGUUUCAAACACCUAUUAAAUCUAUCUAAAGGAUGAUGAUCGAGUUGCACUUUUUGUUGCCAACGAACGGAAAACAGCGACCAGCUGCUGCAUUUGCUCCACCACCCGUUUUUUCUAAGAGAUCAGAGAUGUGUAUUUUCGCUCUGCAGUUUGUUGCUUUUAGCUAAAUAGUUGAAGAAAUUUUUCUCCUCAAAAUAUUUGAUUAUUUCUGCUGCCUCUGCACUCCUUGCUGUCGUUCGAUUCCGUUCACGUAGCUUCGACGUGCUGCCUCGUGGAUCAUCAACUCGUUGGUAGCGAGCCGCGUGGCUUGUUUCGAUAUUCCACCUAUUACUAUGGGCCUUGGUUGCGUUUAGAUGA